RNAcentral lists this ribosomal RNA (451 nucleotides) under uncultured bacterium. RNAcentral's name for it is "partial 16S ribosomal RNA". It matches the Rfam family "Bacterial small subunit ribosomal RNA", at positions 354 to 796 of the family's 1533-position model. The record is from RNAcentral.
GUGGGGAAUAUUGGACAAUGGGGGGAACCCUGAUCCAGCCAUGCCGCGUGUGUGAAGAAGGCCUUUUGGUUGUAAAGCACUUUAAGCGAGGAGGAGGCUACCGAGAUUAAUACUCUUGGAUAGUGGACGUUACUCGCAGAAUAAGCACCGGCUAACUCUGUGCCAGCAGCCGCGGUAAUACAGAGGGUGCAAGCGUUAAUCGGAUUUACUGGGCGUAAAGCGCGCGUAGGUGGCCAAUUAAGUCAAAUGUGAAAUCCCCGAGCUUAACUUGGGAAUUGCAUUCGAGACUGGUUGGCUAGAGUAUGGGAGAGGAUGGUAGAAUUCCAGGUGUAGCGGUGAAAUGCGUAGAGAUCUGGAGGAAUACCGAUGGCGAAGGCAGCCAUCUGGCCUAAUACUGACACUGAGGUGCGAAAGCAUGGGGAGCAAACAGGAUUAGAUACCCUUGUAGUCC